UAUUUGUUUUAUCUAGCAAAUGACCUUGAAAGAGUGUGUUCAGACACUGCCUGAGCUGUUUCUAUAAUAAAUGAACUGUAACUCCAUAUGUCCAGUUCUGGAGUCUUUCUGCACACUUCAGUGAAAGUCCGUGGAACGACUGCAGGGUUCCCAAAGUUUUUAUGCCACAGCACAGAAGUGGCCGCGGCCUGGCAAACAUGGCCCAGCAGUUACAGCCAACUGCAGCUAGAAUUUCCAGCCAGAAGACAGACCCUGUCUUCAAAAAAGAGCUAAGGAUAAAGAAGUGCCUCUCACGAAGGUUUUUCAUUUAAGUUUCUGUGUCACAGAUACAUUAUGAACAAUAUUGAUUUUUCUGACCUCAGUCAAGCAGCAUGAAGACUUGGCUUAGAUUCAUCUUUACCUUAUAUUUGUCAUAAAUCUUAGAUGUGCCAAUAUUCUAUAUUUGAAUGCUUUGUGCACAUUAGCAAUAUUGUAAAAUCAUAUUGUAUUAAGUGACAAACCACUAAAUUUAUUGCACAAUGGGUUCAUCUUAGCACUACAUACAUUAUGAAUAAUAAAACACUUAUUGAUCCUAAUGACAGAUUAUUACAACAUUCAUUUUUAGUUGAGCCAGGGCAUUUUCCCAAUUGAUAUUGUACAGAUAUUUGCUAAAACAGCACAGCCACAGGAAGCUUUCCUUAUGCUAUAAUGAUGUUGUUCAUCAUAAUUAUGUUGUGUCAGCACACACAUAUAGGUCAAUUUAAGUUCAGAAAGAUAGGAUUAUAUAUUCUUCUCAGUGUGUGCAUGCUGUUUAAAUGCUUCACUGCCUCUAAAACUAACAGUAGUUACAUGUAUACAGUAAAUAAUCCCUGUUCAAUGAAAUGAGAAUAUACUUGUCAUCCUUCUGGUUUAGAAAACAGAGUUGCCACAGAAAGUGCUGAGUGCAAUGCUGCACAAAUUUGAUGAUUCCAACACAGGGAUUAGCAUUGUUAAAAUGAAAUCACUGCACGAUUUGAGUAAUUAAAUGUAUUUGAAAUUUUGAGUUACCUCAACGUAUUAAUAUUGGUGGUGAAUGUAUGUUAGAGACAUAAAACAGUUCUUAGGAAAGCUGCAGUCUUUCUGAAAUUGUGCAGGAGAAAAUGUCAUUUUUUUACUGUAUGUAGACUUGUCUAGUUACUUUUGUAAUUAAUUUUGAUAGUUGCACUUCCUUUCAAAAUAUGCCAUGAAUAAUCUGCCUGUUGGCUAAAAGAUAGGAGGGUCCAUCUUUAAUUCAAUGGAUGUGAUAUUUGUGCAUAUAAUUGUCACUGGUAUUGAAUAUAAAUUGUCUUGCUUCCCUGAUGUGCAGACAAGUUUCCAGGGUGCAUGCACAUUGUUAUUGAAUGUGUGUGUUUAAUUUUGUCCUGCAUAUUUUGAGGUGUGAUACUUUUUCUUGGCAAUUUCCAGUUUUCAUAAAUAUACAUUCAUCCAAAUAAUUUAUUAUUAUUAUUGUUAUUGAAAAGAUAAAAAAUAGUGAUAGGUGAAAAAAAAGGGGGAAAAUGAGCCUAAGAAUGAUUGUCAUUUCUGUCAUGUAUUGCAGUACAAUCUGCCUGCUAUACAAUGAUUCACAAUAAGAGGGUGUAGAAACAAUGUAAGAGGCUUUAAAUGUGCUGCAGUGAUAAUGAUGGCAAUAGAUGCUUUAAACCAUGAAACUGUCUUUGCAUUGCUUUGAAACAGCCAAUUAACUAACAUUCCAUAUUGGCUUAAGUGAGCUGAUCAAAUGCCAAAUCACUCCAUCAAUCCUUAGUUUGCACUCUGGUUCUCUAAAGGUGAAUGUAUUGUCUUCUUUCAUUGAACUGAAUGGUUUCAGUUGUUGAUAUGUAUAAAAGAAAAAGUAUAAUCAAACUAGAUAAGUAGAUUUUAAAUUAGUUCUCAUUUCUUUAACAAGCAGUAGGCACUACUUUGUUUUGCAAGCAAAACUAAUGAAUAAUUUUUGGGUGAUUGGUCACUGUCACUCCUCCAAAUAAGACUGAUUUCUUGAAGAAAAAUUAUGGACACAAACCACAGUAUGUUCUCUGUCUUUUUUUUCCUUUGAACUCAGUAAGAUUUCAUACAUUCUUAGCACUCAGCGCAUUAGAAAAGAUCAGCAUUAUUUCAAACUAUAAAAAUCCAUGGGGUGGAGAUUCAAUUUGCAUUACUGUCUAUAUCCCCCACCAAUACUGCCUGUAAUUCAAAAUGACCCUGUUUUUUUUACCCGGGAAGCUUAUUUUGAAGAACAGCAUUUAACUUAACAGUAGUCAGUAUUUGGGAAUUUUAUGCAUACAGGUCUCAGAUAAUUGUCUAUACUGAUGAAUAUCAUUUUGGCUGACUCACAAGCUGAUUGGACGUGUGCCCAAGGGCAUAGGUGCCAGGCAAAGAUGAUUUUACUAGAACAGUUUGCAUAACAAGCAACUGUCAUCUCAUUAGCAAGCAUAGGCAUUUUUGCCACACGCUGUUUAACACAUCAUCACACCUGUUCACACUCCAUUGUCCUAAGGAUGGAGUUAGGCAGCUUUUUGUUGACUUUAUUUUUUUCAUUUCUCACUGAUGUUGGUCAUCCUGUGCCAAAGAUUCAGAAGUGUGAGAUAAAUGCAAUUUACACUUUAGUAUGUGGGUGUGAGAGAGAUGCUGGGGGCAAAGGUGGGGGGUGGUAAAGGGCAUGAUUAUGUUUGCAAUAGUGACCAGCAGCAGUGGCUUGUUCUAUCUUAUACCUUCUCCUACCUGCUGGCUACUGUUCUUGCCAUUACUGCGUCUGCUCCUUUAGCAUGUAAGCUACAGAUACAGCUAUAGCCCAAAGAUUGGGAAAAUUACAAUCUCACAAAUAAAUCUGUUAUAAAGACACCCAAUUGCCCCUUUUGGAGUUGGACUACAUAGAAAGAAAGUUAAUAUGAUAACAUUGAGUUCAGCUCAAGGGAGGCAGCUAUAGCUAGUUAACCCUUACUCAGAAAAACCAGCAAUGGCUAACUGAUGUGGUUCAAGUAAAGCAUCGCUAUGCUGUUCUGUUAACUUAGGGUUACUUUACAUCUGGGUUUUUCUGGACAUGUCCUCUUUUUGGGUCCUCCCAUCUCUGUUCGGGCAGUUUUUUAAAAUAUCAGUAAAUGUCCAGGAUUUUACUAUGUCUCUGCUUUCCUGGCACUUCCUGGCUUGCCCCAGCAAGAAGCUGCUUAGGGCUGGGGGGAACGAGGGCAUCUGCUCACAAGUCCUGGCACCUGCAGCCAGGGCUUGGGGAAAGAGAGAGAGAGAGAAAGAGUGUGUGUGUGUGUGUGUGUGUGUGUGUGGCAGGCACCUGUCAGUGCCAGGGCUGCAGCAGAAGGCAGGUAGU
Alligator mississippiensis (American alligator) is the source of this 3316-nucleotide long non-coding RNA. RefSeq lists it as uncharacterized. The record is from RefSeq and is a predicted model, not a curated record. NCBI's taxonomy places the organism in Eukaryota, Metazoa, Chordata, Crocodylia, Alligatoridae. The transcript is spliced from 3 exons.